AGUGAACGCUGGCGGUAGGCCUAACACAUGCAAGUCGAACGGCAGCACAGUAAGAGCUUGCUCUUACGGGUGGCGAGUGGCGGACGGGUGAGGAAUACAUCGGAAUCUACUUUUUCGUGGGGGAUAACGUAGGGAAACUUACGCUAAUACCUCAUACGACCUACGGGUGAAAGCAGGGGAUCUUCGGACCUUGCGCGAUUGAAUUAGCCGAUGUCGGAUUAGCUAGUUGGCGGGGUAAAGGCCCACCAAGGCGACGAUCCGUAGCUGGUCUGAGAGGAUGAUCAGCCACACUGGAACUGAGACACGGUCCAGACUCCUACGGGAGGCAGCAGUGGGGAAUAUUGGACAAUGGGCGAAAGCCUGAUCCAGCCAUACCGCGUGGGUGAAGAAGGCCUUCGGGUUGUAAAGCCCUUUUGUUGGGAAAGAAAAGAAGCAGGUUAAAACCCCGAUGUUCUGACGGUACCCAAAGAAUAAGCAACGGCUAACUUCGUG
RNAcentral lists this ribosomal RNA (492 nucleotides) under uncultured bacterium. RNAcentral describes it as "partial 16S ribosomal RNA". It matches the Rfam family "Bacterial small subunit ribosomal RNA", at positions 29 to 507 of the family's 1533-position model. The record is from RNAcentral.